Molecule: ribosomal RNA, 323 nt
Filed under: uncultured eukaryote
Lineage: Eukaryota
Description: partial 18S ribosomal RNA
Rfam family: Eukaryotic small subunit ribosomal RNA
Source: RNAcentral
CCCUUAGAUGUCCUGGGCUGCACGCGCGCUACACUGAUGUGUCCAGUAAGCACCUAACCUCUUCCGAAAGGAACGGGUAACCUUUGCAAAGCACAUCGUGAUGGGGAUAGAUUAUUGCAAUUAUUAGUCUUGAACGAGGAAUUCCUAGUAAGCACAAGUCAUCAGCUUGUGUUGAUUACGUCCCUGCCCUUUGUACACACCGCCCGUCGCUCCUACCGAUUGGGUGAUCCGGUGAAUAACUCGGACUGCAGCUAUUCGGGAGACCGUUAGCUUGUGGAAAGUUUAGUAAAUCUUAUCACUUAGAGGAAGGAGAAGUCGUAACA